This 27-nucleotide non-coding RNA is filed under the name Bombyx mori (domestic silkworm). The record is from RNAcentral. Lineage: Eukaryota; Metazoa; Arthropoda; Insecta; Lepidoptera; Bombycidae.
UACGUAAAAGGUUUUGAUGUUGGCAAU